RNAcentral lists this ribosomal RNA (459 nucleotides) under uncultured bacterium. RNAcentral describes it as "partial 16S ribosomal RNA". It matches the Rfam family "Bacterial small subunit ribosomal RNA", at positions 338 to 795 of the family's 1533-position model. The record is from RNAcentral.
CCUACGGGGGGCAGCAGUGAGGAAUAUUGGUCAAUGGGCGCGAGCCUGAACCAGCCAAGUCGCGUGAGGGAAGACGGUCCUAUGGAUUGUAAACCUCUUUUGUCGGGGAGCAAAAGACGCCACGCGUGGCGUUCCGAGAGUACCCGAAGAAAAAGCAUCGGCUAACUCCGUGCCAGCAGCCGCGGUAAUACGGAGGAUGCGAGCGUUAUCCGGAUUUAUUGGGUUUAAAGGGUGGGCAGUGGGAAGAUCAAGUCAGCGGGAAAAUUGAGAGGCUCAACCUCUUCGAGCCGUUGAAACUGGUUGUCUUGAGUGAGUGAGAGGUAUGCGGAAUGCGUGGUGUAGCGGUGAAAUGCGUAGAUAUCACGCAGAACACCGAUUGCGAAGGCAGCAUACCGGCGCUCAACUGACGCUCAGGCACGAAAGUGUGGGUAUCGAACAGGAUUAGAUACCCUUGUAGUC